RNAcentral lists this ribosomal RNA (275 nucleotides) under uncultured bacterium. RNAcentral describes it as "partial 16S ribosomal RNA". It matches the Rfam family "Bacterial small subunit ribosomal RNA", at positions 338 to 611 of the family's 1533-position model. The record is from RNAcentral.
CCUACGGGGGGCUGCAGUAGGGAAUAUUGGGCAAUGGAAGGAAUUCUGACCCAGCCAUGCCGCGUGCAGGAUGAAGGCGCUAUGCGUUGUAAACUGCUUUUGUCAGGGAAGAAAAAGGCUAUGCGUAGCAAAUUGACGGUACCUGAAGAAUAAGCAUCGGCUAACUCCGUGCCAGCAGCCGCGGUAAUACGGAGGAUGCAAGCGUUGUCCGGAUUUAUUGGGUUUAAAGGGUGCGUAGGCGGUCUUAUAAGUCAGUGGUUAAAUUACCUUGCUUA